Molecule: ribosomal RNA, 474 nt
Filed under: uncultured bacterium
Lineage: Bacteria
Description: SSU rRNA
Rfam family: Bacterial small subunit ribosomal RNA
Source: RNAcentral
AGGACGAACGCUGGCGGCGUGCUUAACACAUGCAAGUCGAGCGGAAAGGCCCUUCGGGGUACUCGAGCGGCGAACGGGUGAGUAACACGUGAGUAAUCUGCCCCUAGCUCUGGGAUAGCUCCGGGAAAACCGGGAUUAAUACCGGAUACGACCACCUUAGACAUCUUUUGUGGUGGAAAGAAUUUCGGCUAGGGAUGAGCUCGCGGCCUAUCAGCUUGUUGGUGGGGUAACGGCCUACCAAGGCGACGACGGGUAGCCGGCCUGAGAGGGCGACCGGCCACACUGGGACUGAGACACGGCCCAGACUCCUACGGGAGGCAGCAGUGGGGAAUAUUGCGCAAUGGGCGAAAGCCUGACGCAGCGACGCCGCGUGGGGGAUGAAGGCCUUCGGGUUGUAAACCCUUUCAGCAGGGACGAAGCGAAAGUGACGGUACCUGCAGAAGAAGCGCCGGCUAACUACGUGCCAGCAGCCGC